This is a small nuclear RNA of Dipodomys spectabilis (banner-tailed kangaroo rat), 107 nucleotides long. NCBI's taxonomy places the organism in Eukaryota, Metazoa, Chordata, Mammalia, Rodentia, Heteromyidae. The record is from RefSeq and is a predicted model, not a curated record.
GUGCUUGCUUUGGCAGCACAUAUAUUAAAAUUGGAACGAUGCAGAGAAGAUUAGCAUGGACUCUGUGCAAGGAUGAUACACAAAUUCAUGAAGCAUCCCAUAUUUUU